AAAGCGUCUUUGGUGGUGAAGCAAAAGCCCCAAUUUAAGGUUGCGCUAAAAUAUGAAAGUUUACUCAUCCUGUUGUGUAAUACAUUGUACUUGAUUAACACCUGUGAUCUAGACACGAUUCUAGGCGUUCUAUUUUUAGAACGACAUUUAUCAAAGUUGAAUAGAAAGAUGACGUAAUAAGUGUUUUACCUUCACACUGUAUGUUUCUGAAGAAAAAAUUCUCUUGGAAUCUAUUUUAGUAUAAGUAGACUGUAAAUUGUGACAAUAAGCACCCUACAGAAUUAGGUUUACAUCUGGGGAUUGGAUUGGACUUAACAGCAGAAUUGUGGACUCGAUAAGUAAAGCUCAAUAAAACUUCCAUUCCUAAACAACAAGCUCCAACAGUUAAGAUCAAGAGAAAUGACAAAAGAAAAAAAUUACAAGUAUGAAGCGGGUCUAUACCUGAAAUGCCAGACAGAAAACUGGAUUCCUCUGUCCCAGUCACCAUUGCACAAAGGUUGAAGGUUAAUCUCAAAUGGUCGCCAUCUACAAAAUAUCCGCUCACAUUAAAAGUUACAACUUUUCAUA
Ostrea edulis (European flat oyster) is the source of this 567-nucleotide long non-coding RNA. RefSeq lists it as uncharacterized. The transcript has 3 exons. Lineage: Eukaryota; Metazoa; Mollusca; Bivalvia; Ostreida; Ostreidae. The record is from RefSeq and is a predicted model, not a curated record.